CCUACGGGAGGCAGCAGUAGGGAAUAUUGCUCAAUGGGGGAAACCCUGAAGCAGCAACGCCGCGUGGAGGAUGAAGGUUUUCGGAUUGUAAACUCCUUUUGUUAGAGAAGAUAAUGACGGUAUCUAACGAAUAAGCACCGGCUAACUCCGUGCCAGCAGCCGCGGUAAUACGGAGGGUGCAAGCGUUACUCGGAAUGACUGGGCGUAAAGAGCGCGUAGGCGGGAUAGCAAGUCAGAUGUGAAAUCCUAUGGCUUAACCAUAGAACUGCAGUUGAAACUGUUAUGCUAGAGUAUGGGAGAGGUAGGCGGAAUUCUUGGUGUAGGGGUAAAAUGCGUAGAGAUCAAGAGGAAUACUGAUUGCGAAGGCGACCUGCUAGAACAUAACUGACGCUGAUGCGCGAAAGCGUGGGGAGCAAACAGGAUUAGAUACCCUUGUAGUC
Molecule: ribosomal RNA, 440 nt
Filed under: uncultured bacterium
Lineage: Bacteria
Description: partial 16S ribosomal RNA
Rfam family: Bacterial small subunit ribosomal RNA
Source: RNAcentral